GCCCAUGUGGCUUAGUGAAUAGGGCACUGGUCCCACAUACCGGAGGUGGCGGGUUCAAACCCAGCCCUGGCCA
This 73-nucleotide transfer RNA is filed under the name Otolemur garnettii (small-eared galago). It matches the Rfam family "tRNA". From Rfam's summary of the family: Transfer RNA (tRNA) molecules are approximately 80 nucleotides in length. Their secondary structure includes four short double-helical elements and three loops (D, anti-codon, and T loops). The record is from Rfam by way of RNAcentral. Lineage: Eukaryota; Metazoa; Chordata; Mammalia; Primates; Galagidae.